RNAcentral lists this ribosomal RNA (253 nucleotides) under uncultured bacterium. RNAcentral's name for it is "partial 16S ribosomal RNA". It matches the Rfam family "Bacterial small subunit ribosomal RNA", at positions 524 to 776 of the family's 1533-position model. The record is from RNAcentral.
GACGAAGGGGGCUAGCGUUGUUCGGAAUUACUGGGCGUAAAGCGCGUGUAGGCGGUUGUCCAAGUUGGAUGUGAAAGCCUUGAGCUCAACUCAAGAAUUGCAUUCAGGACUGGAUGACUAGAGGACCGGAGAGGAUAGUGGAAUUCCCAGUGUAGUGGUGAAAUACGUAGAGAUUGGGAAGAACACCAGUGGCGAAGGCGGCUAUCUGGACGGUUUCUGACGCUAAGACGCGAAAGCGUGGGGAGCAAACAGG